Zalophus californianus (California sea lion) is the source of this 538-nucleotide long non-coding RNA. RefSeq lists it as uncharacterized. The record is from RefSeq and is a predicted model, not a curated record. NCBI's taxonomy places the organism in Eukaryota, Metazoa, Chordata, Mammalia, Carnivora, Otariidae. The transcript is spliced from 3 exons.
UAAUACCUAAGCACAUCUAACUCAACCACCCUCUUUGCACCUUAGGAAACUAAGCCCAGAGAGGAUGAGGAAACUGAGGCCCAGAGGGGUGUCCAAGAUCUUACAGCUGGCAAGUGGCAGAUCCAGGGUCCAGUUUAGAUCUUCCUGACUCCAAACGCGCCCCUAUGAGGUUGCACCACUGACAUCUUUUUGCUGAUGAAGAGCCCGGGCCAGGGAUGCAGAGCCUGUGCUGAAGAUGACAGCUGGUGGCAGCCGAGAGGCCUGAGCAUUUCACCCCAAGAAGGAAGUCUCUUUAGCUCCCACGGUGUUGUUUGGGGCCCAGAUCUCAGCUGGGUGGAGAUUAGCUCGGCCAGCUCCUGAUGUUGGGAUGUGGUGCCGCCGUCAGAUGGACCCGGGGAGGCAGGCUCUCUUGCUCAGAGUUUCAGCUCACCCCCCGCACCACCCUCUGCACCGCCGCUUUCCCAUCUCUACUGUGGGAGGGUACAGCUUGAUCAUUUCGGCAGAGCCUUUCCAGCUCAGUGCUCUAGAAGGAAAUGAA